CAAGAAGCCGAAAGGCUGCCUAAAACCAUCGCGAACCCAUCCAUCAGCGUUGCUUCGGCGGGUGGCCCCCCUAGGCCGCAGCCCCGACCUCUCCGGAGGGCGGGGCGCCCGCCGGAGGUUCGAAACCCUUCUGUAUCUUAGUGGUAUCUCUGAGUAAACAAGCAAAUAAUCA
Molecule: unclassified non-coding RNA, 172 nt
Filed under: uncultured Ascomycota
Lineage: Eukaryota; Fungi; Ascomycota
Description: sequence contains ITS1
Source: RNAcentral